UAGGGAAUCUUCGGCAAUGGGGGGAACCCUGACCGAGCAACGCCGCGUGAGUGAAGAAGGUUUUCGGAUCGUAAAGCUCUGUUGUUAAGGAAGAACGAGUGUGAGAAUGGAAAGUUCAUACUGUGACGGUACUUAACCAGAAAGGGACGGCUAACUACGUUCCAGCAGCCGCGGUAAUACGUAGGUCCCGAGCGUUGUCUGGAUUUAUUGGGCGUAAAGCGAGCGCAGGCGGUUGGAUAAGUCUGAAGUUAAAGGCAGUGGCUCAACCAUUGUAGGCUUUGGAAACUGUUUAACUUGAGUGCAGAAGGGGAGAGUGGAAUUCCAGGGGUAGCGGUGAAAUACGUAGAUAUAUGGAGGAACACCGGUGGCGAAAGCGGCUCUCUGGUCUGUAACUGACGCUGAGGCUCGAAAGCGUGGGGAGCGAACAGG
Molecule: ribosomal RNA, 429 nt
Filed under: Bacteroidota bacterium
Lineage: Bacteria; Pseudomonadati; Bacteroidota
Description: Bacteroidetes bacterium partial 16S ribosomal RNA
Rfam family: Bacterial small subunit ribosomal RNA
Source: RNAcentral